This 177-nucleotide ribosomal RNA is filed under the name uncultured bacterium. RNAcentral's name for it is "partial 16S ribosomal RNA". It matches the Rfam family "Bacterial small subunit ribosomal RNA", at positions 118 to 295 of the family's 1533-position model. The record is from RNAcentral.
UGAGCAAUCUGCCCUUCUCUUCGGAAUAAGCGUGGGAAACCGCGUCUAAUGCCGAAUACGACCUCCUUUCACAUGAUCGGAGGUGGAAAGCUCCGGCGGAGAAGGAUGAGCUCGCGGCCUAUCAGCUAGUUGGUGUGGGUAAUGGUCCACCAAGGCGACGACGGGUAGCCGGCCUGG